ACUUUCGAAGACAGUGAUAUAUUCAAUGUUUUGGUAGAAUAUGUUAUCAAAUUUUUUUAAUCUCUUAAUGAAAACUGAGAUACCUGCAUCUACGGCAGUGUUAGUAAGUUCACCCCCAUUAAAAAAAGUGCAGUAAUCUGAACCCCGAACCCUUAUUGUAUUCCGGCAGAUAUCACUGAACAAAGCUACUACAACUUCAAAUAUUGGAUGACGAUAGUACUCUGUGUUAUUAAAGAGACCAUUAUCCAUAGCCAAUGGAUGAGGAUAGUCCUUCUUUACAUCAAGUUUAUCUAGCGUGAGUUUAACCUUUUUACCCGACUGUGUAAAGCUACAUAGUUUAUUUACGAGUUCUUUUCGCAUAAUGUUUGGUUUGAAAUUCUCAUUUAAUGGGGCUCCCUUUAUUAUUUGUUGAAUGAAAAAUAUCACAAAAAUUCCGCAAUUAUUUGAAUCUGUUUGAAUUUGGUGAUAAGCGCAACUUCUGGAAUUCCAGUUGUCUGUAUUUAUUUUUUCUGGGCUGAAUUUAUUUCUUUCGGACAGCAAUUUUUUGAACACUUUAAAUGCUUCAUCUGCCUUUGAAGUAGUCUUGUUUGGUAAAACACUAUCCUCUUCACCUAUGGGAUCUAUGUAGGAAAAUAUUUUUUUCUUAAAAUCUGCCGUAAUCAGUGUCCAGUGCUGAUUGGUAUUGUACGGAAUGAUGCAUUUACUAGCACAGCUUAAUUUAAUGUUGUUUAUUUCGGCUCCCUGCUCAAGAAUUUGCCCAAAAAUGACAAAACUUCCAAGCCAUUCAGCAGGGUUGCAUCGAAGGCGCGCAACGGGUGGGGGCCUCUAAUUUCGUGAGGCUCCUGACCAGAGUUGAAGGUCAGCCACUGACUUAUUUCAGAGACAACAACGGUCGAAGAAGAAAAAAAACAGGCGCAUGUGUCAGCGGCCAAGGCAUGUCGGCAUGCCGACAUCAUAUAAGGCGCCUGCAGCGCGGCGGCCAGCUGGCCAUGUGCCUGGUCAUCUUCCUUGGUUUGAAUGAUCUCCUAAAAGGCAGUUCCAUUGGACCCAUGAAGGUCAUGCUGGGGCGAAUUAUGGCCUUCCUUCUGCAGAGAAGGAAGACCAUAAUUCUCACGACAGUACCGCCGUUUCAUAAGUUGUGGAGCGAUGCAACGUUGAAACAGCGUGUACUGUCGUGGAACAACCACAUAAGAAAAGUGGUGUCAGCGCACAAUGGCGGGUCCACCGCACCGCUGGCCGCUGCCCCCUCCUAUGCUGAGGUGACUUCCGGGGUGGAAUGCCAACCUCGCUCAGGAACACGUGUCGAGCUGCUGGACUUUGCAGUGAAGGCAGCAAUGGUCCCGCACAAUAUUUAUUGCAGGGAUGGAAUACAUCUCAAUCAGAGAGGGCUGCGGAAAUUGCGGGCAGCGAUCACAAACAAGUUGAGAAUCAUGGCACAACAUGGCCGGUUAUGAGUAUAGAUGAACUGCUGCACGCCCAAGCCUUCUGUGGUCCCGAGUGAGGCGAGUGACGGGAGCUCUAGUAACUAGGGCCUAGUUAUUCAUGCCUUUGUUUUUGUUAAUGGCAGCUGUAAUUUUAACAUGUAAUCUGUAUCUCUGUCUGUGGCACCAUAGCUCCUAAACAAAUGAACUGAUUUUGAUAUAUUUUUUUUUGUUUUGCACACACUUAAUAAUCAUAAUCUGUGAUUUGUUAUUUGGAUGCCAGGUAAAUACUUGACAUUUAUUUAAAAUUUAGAUUCAAUUCAUAAAGUAACAGAGCAUCUUCCCAACUUUUAACAAUAACAAUCAUAACAAUACUUAAAAGAGGAAGGCCUGUUAACCCAUAGUUGAUAAGUGAUUAACUGAUUAGAAAAGUAGUACUCUGUGUAGACGAUUUUGUAUAAGUGGGUACACAUUGUGAUGCAUUUCACAAAGCUGUCAACAGUGGAAGAAUUACAUACAAUUGUUGACACCACUUUUUUCCAAAACUAAAAUGUGUUGAUACAUUUUUUUAAAAGUUUUACAUUAUUUAUUUUAUAGACAUCAAACAAGACAGCGUUUCUAAGUUCUUAGCCUCAUCUUCUUGGCAUGUUAUAACUACCGGCAAGUGAAACAAAUCUUAGAUUUUGGUGGUGAAUCUUGGGUUCAGGUCUUUUUUAGCAUAUUGCAUAUUUUGCAGUAAAUCGAUUGUGCAAAAUUUAAAUUAUGAAUAUAGGAUAUUUUCCACAAUAUGCCUCACUUUUAACACUCAUGUCAUAUCAUGCUCCUGUGAUUAAAAUACAUCAUUUUUGACUGACAAACAUGUUAGUGUAAUUAUUAGGAAAUUAAUGAAGGGUACUGCACAAAGCAUCCCAAAAAUAUGAAAGCACUAGGGAUGGGAAAACCGAUUCCCAAUUUCAUCGAUACCUACCGAUUCUACUUAAAUAAUCCAUAAUCGAGAAACAAUGAUAAAAGUCGAUUCCCGCAUGCAAAAAAAAACCAUUUCACAACAUUGCAAAUCUGUCAGAUACAAUUAUUUAACGACUCUUUGAGUGGGGUUAUGACUGACUAGACGCAUAUACAACAGUCAUAUUUCCACAAAUAAACAAUAUCCAAAACUUGGGUCGAUGUUAUACACAAGUCAAAGUACAAAAAUUAUUUAUAAAAAAAUUAUUACUGCGUAUUAGAAGGGGCCUGUUCUUUUCGCGAUCGCGAUUAAACGACGAUAAACGUGAAAUCACCGUAAAAUACAUUUUUCACCCGAAAUCGCCACAACACAGCGUUUCUCCACGAAAUUUAGUUUUCAAACGCGAAAUCGCAAUGUUUUUAUGGGAAAUUUAAAUACUGGCUAAAAGAUUUGCCUCGUCACUGGUAAACAAACACUGCAACAUGGCCGCUACUGAACAUUUAUCAUAAAUGCACUAAAGCAAACAAAAGCUUACACACGCUCACGUUAUAAUGUUAAACCCAAAAAUAUACUGUUAAAAUACGCAAAACUACGGCGUUUAUUUUCCUUUCCGGCAUAAUGUUUGGAUAGAUAAGACGAACAGGCAAAGUUUUUAAGUCCACGCACACCGCUCGGGGCACUGGCGUCAACUUGGAAUAGGGAUGGACGAUAUACAUCAAUGUAUUUUAAACACCCGAUGUGCAGUAACGAUGCAUCGUAUCGAACCGAUGUAUUGUUAACACUUCAGCAUCGAAUAUAUAUCGAUGUUUUUCAUUCGAUGCAUCGAAUACGCAAAUUAAAACCAAAACAACAAUAACCGAGUUUCUGCUGUGUAAUAAUGGUCCACGUUGUGAACCGUAUCUUAAAGAUUUUAUUUUUUUUAACUUUCAGUUAUAAUAGGACCUAAGAAAAAAAGUUCAGUUUGGCAAUUCUUUAAUACAAUUGAUGAUAAGAAAUCGAAAUGCAAACUAUAUCAAAAGGAUAUCAAGUCUGCCGGAAAUACUACGAACUUAAUUGGGCAUAUUCGUAAUGUUCAUAAGGCUGCUUAUCCCGAAAUUCAGCCAAAAGAAAAUACAUUGAAUUCAGUUAAUAAAACAGAAGAAAUAUCGAAUCCUCCAAAUUUAUAUGAGUUAAUGUUAAUAACUUAGUUGUGUACUCAAAUUUGAUAAAUAUGAAUUUAUGAUGUAUGCUACAUCAUACAUGUAUUGAAAGCUGAAAAAAACAAAUGUUGCAAAUAGAAUUUGAAUCAUUUAAUAUUAAGUUAACUAGGUGAGUACCGAGUAUCGAGAAUCGAAGGAUUUUUUUAAGAAUCGAUAAUCGGGUAUCGGAAUCGAAAAUUUUGGAAGCGUCCCAUCCCUAGAAAGCACCAUCAGAAAUAAAUAUUAAAUGGAGAUUAAAUGACAUCUAACAUCUGCUCUCUCUCUCUCUCUCUCUCUCUCUCUCUCUCUCUCUCUCUCUCUCUCUCUCUCUCUCUCUCUCUCUAUGUAUGUAUGUGUGUGUGUAUAUAUAUACAUACACACACACACACAAAAACAAAACUUAUCUGACUUUAUCAUUUAUUAUAGUUUUCCAAUGGGUUCUGUGUACUAUAACUUGUUUAGUCUGAAUAGGAUGUCUUUUUUCUGUUCGGGGGUAAUAAACAGCUAUGGAAUAACUCUUUGGUCCAUGUUAACUAAUUUAUACCUAAUUGCAAUAUUUUAGACCAAAUUCCAUGGUUUAAAUUUACGCCAAGUUUAUUUUUAAAACACGAUAUUUUAGUGCCAUUGUUUUAAUUUUUUUAUGAACUAUUGUUUAUUCAUAAAGAUAGCAUCAUUUUCAAUUUAUACGACACUUGUUCAAUGACACUUACUUAACUAAAACAGUGCCAUUUUGUCUGAUACAUGAUGCCCUUUUACAAUAUAAUAAUUCGUAAUAAGCACAUCAAACUAUUGGGAACAAUACAAAUAAAUCAGCAAGUUAAUGUACAUUUGAAAAAUGUACCAAUUUCAUUGUGUAAAACUUAGUUACUAAUA
This is an RNA transcript of Bacillus rossius redtenbacheri, 4415 nucleotides long. RefSeq lists it as uncharacterized. The record is from RefSeq and is a predicted model, not a curated record. NCBI's taxonomy places the organism in Eukaryota, Metazoa, Arthropoda, Insecta, Phasmatodea, Bacillidae. The transcript is spliced from 8 exons.